This 248-nucleotide ribosomal RNA is filed under the name Pholiotina sp. Its description in RNAcentral is "partial 28S ribosomal RNA". It matches the Rfam family "Eukaryotic large subunit ribosomal RNA", at positions 104 to 344 of the family's 3401-position model. Lineage: Eukaryota; Fungi; Basidiomycota; Agaricomycetes; Agaricales; Bolbitiaceae. The record is from RNAcentral.
AAAGCUCAAAUUUAAAAUCUGGCAAUCUUCUGGUUGUCUGAGUUGUUAUCUAGAGAAGUGUUAUCCGCGUUGGACCGUGUAUAAGUCUUCUGGAAUGGAGCAUCAUAGAGGGUGAGAAUCCCGUCUUUGACAUGGACUACCAAUGCAUUGUGAUGCGCUCUCAAAGAGUCGAGUUGUUUGGGAAUGCAGCUCAAAAUGGGUGGUAAAUUCCAUCUAAAGCUAAAUAUUGGCGAGAGACCGAUAGCGAA